UGCACUUCUCAUGAGUGAAUUCGCAAAAUUUAUUGUUUAGUUUUUGAUAAAAACUCAUGUUAUUUACAACUAAUAUUUGCGUGCUAAAGGGAAAAUAAAACAAUAUUUAAUGGAUGUGGAGGCGUAUAAUUUGAUUCCGUAUUGCGGAACGACCAUGAGGAUUCGACAUGUCAUAGUUUCUUGAUUGAGGCGUGGGGAAAGCUGAUUCUCGGUGAAAGUCCGGCCUCGACUGUGCGCCCAUUGGUCAACCUGAUCCUGAUCCCAAUCAUCGGCCUUUGUGGGCAAGAAGUAGCCUACCUCGCUUGUUUAACUGCCCUGGCAAGAUGAAGGUAAUUUGCCAAAAAUCUGGAAGCUCUUAGUAAUCUGAAGCCACGAGAGACGAUUUGUAAGUGCAUGGCUUCGAGAUGGCUGCAACCGCUGUCGAUGGUAUCAUGCGUUCAUGAUGAUUCAGGAAUGCUUGAUUUCUGGUGAGAAUCAAAAGCUGCUCUACGCCAAGGAACAAUUAACUAUUGCAUCUGAAGUUUGAAAGACCACCGACUUUUGUGCUGUGAUCUGCGUGUUUCAAGUGAGAAGAUGCUCACAUGUCACCAUGCCAUUUCACAGGAUCGGCUUCCGUGUUUACGAUUACUCGCAAACCCCCGGCCAUCCCAGGUAAUUGCCGCGGAUAGACCGAACAGGGCAACGACUCAUACGGGCUGAUACUAGCGGCUCCUAUUAAAUCGACGUGCAAUGCCACCGGUCUAUGAGUGAUGGUCACCGGCAGUGAAAUCCAAUCUAAAAAUUUGCUGUAUUGAAUAACCUGAUCUGUGAACAUAAAAUAAAUUUUCUUCAGGAA
Molecule: long non-coding RNA, 835 nt
Organism: Armigeres subalbatus
Lineage: Eukaryota; Metazoa; Arthropoda; Insecta; Diptera; Culicidae
Exons: 4
Source: RefSeq, a predicted model, not a curated record